CCGGCACGGGUGAGUAACACGUAUGCAACCUGCCUGCCACAGCCGGAUAAUCGGGAGAAAUUCCGUCUAAUACGGCAUAAUGCAUCGACGGGACAUCCUGUUGGUGCCAAAGGUUAAUUCCGGUGGCGGAUGGGCAUGCGUCGCAUUAGUUAGUUGGCGGUGUAACGGACCACCAAGACGACGAUGCGGUAGGGGUUCUGAGAGGAAGGUCCCCCACACUGGUACUGAGACACGGACCAGACUCCUACGGGAGGCAGCAG
RNAcentral lists this ribosomal RNA (260 nucleotides) under uncultured bacterium. RNAcentral describes it as "partial 16S ribosomal RNA". It matches the Rfam family "Bacterial small subunit ribosomal RNA", at positions 97 to 354 of the family's 1533-position model. The record is from RNAcentral.